Molecule: long non-coding RNA, 1930 nt
Organism: Lolium perenne
Lineage: Eukaryota; Viridiplantae; Streptophyta; Magnoliopsida; Poales; Poaceae
Source: RefSeq, a predicted model, not a curated record
CCCAAUCCCUAUAUCCGAUCUCACGAUACCAGGGGCAGGCGGAGGCCACCGCCGUUGUGCUCCUCCUGCCGCUCACCCCGACCACCACUGCGGCAACGACGACGACAAGAAUGGAGACAAGGCGGCAGUGCCGUCUCCAGUACAAUCCGGAGCGCGCCGUCCACGCCGCCGAACCGGCUAUCCUGUGAACCUCUCGGUCGCAGUGGACUACCGCCGCCACUCCAUCUUCCCUGUCGACGGUGAGCCCACCUCCCUCUGUCCUCCCCUAACCUCUCCGACCCCGCAUAUGUGCGCCGCCGAGCAUACCUGGAAUCAGCUGUCGCGCCCUUCUUCUGGUAUGCCCCUGGCACCACAUAUGCCUCACGCGGUACGCCGGUGCGGAGAGCCGUGAGAUCUCCACUGGCGGACCGGCCGCCGCUGGGGAAGAUCUAGGCGGCGGAGCCUGUCUCAGUACAACGGGCCGAGCGUCGGCCUCUUCUCCUCCAAGAGGCUGUCGCCGCCUGUAUGGACGACCGCCACUCGGGAUUCCUCGGCCGCCACUCCGUGCUCCUGGCCGCGUCCUCCGAGGACGAAGAAGAGAGCAUGGCCUCGUGGGGGAUCACCGAGGAUUGUGGCUACGCCAACUUCUCCGACCUCAUAGCCUAGGAGAUGGGGUGUGCUCCCGCGACUCCAGCCUGUUCGGGAGGACGGGGACCUGCACGGCAACCGAGUUGACGACGAGGAACAACACGUUGAUGAGCACAGAUUUGGAUUUUGGGCCACCCAGUGCUCCCCACAACACAAGAUCGGUAGGAGCAUCACAAUUUCAACGCAUUUGGUGAUAUCAGAGACCACUUCUUUUUUCAAACACAGUUUGUUCUUAUUUUCUUUUGCGUGGAAGCACUUGAUAUGCAAACAGCAAAACCGAAAGAGGCUUUGAGAGGAUUAGCUUACCAUCAGUGGCAGAUAUAUUGGCUCAAGAUGUUCAUGAACUUCCUACGAGGUAAGUGCCGUCGUGUCGGGUUGGGUCAUUUUUUCGACAUCGAAAGAAAGGCCGUGGAUUUUGUGCAGCUGGUGCCAAUGCAUGUGAAUAUUGAUAAUGAUAAUGCCUUCUCUACAUUUCAAAGCUUGUGGAGCAAACAAAUUUCCCCAUAGCCGCCAGUUUUCAGGGACUAUGAGAUCCUCUAUGUUGUAUGUCCAGGUCUGCAUUCUUUCUUGUGCCCCUGAAUCUCUUAUUUGGUUAUUUGUGUCUGGUAAAUGCUACCAGCUCAGCUACUUUAGUCCAUUGUACUGUAGUUAUUUGAGUGAUCUCAUAAACAUCAGUGGAUUCAGUGUGUUAUGCUCAUUAUCUCUCACUGUUAAGCAUUUUGUACUUCUGCACCAAGAGUUUCACCAAAGGCUUGGAUUUUCUUCAGGGCUUCCUCCUUCUCCCCCUUCAGCACUAGAUGAUGUUGGUAAUGGUGAAUUUGGAAUUAUCAGAAAUGCAAGGGCAAUGAAGCCAAUAGGUGAUGAUGUUGGAAUGCCCAAAAGAAAAGCUAAUGGGAUCCUAAUUUGAUGUUUUCUCCACUGUUAUAGCAUUGAUUGUUUGCAAUGCGGAUGCAUGGUUGCUGCUCAAGUUCAGGGAUUCAGAUGACAUGGCUCAAAGAUAUCCACAUAGUGCAAUUCCAAAAUUGUCCUGGUCUUCUGAACUUGCAUAGAGGAGGUUAUUCUGAAGUAAGUGUGGGAAAAAAGCCCUGGAUAGAUCAAAGAAAUACAUAAGAUGUCGCAGGCAAGAUUUGUGAUGUUGUACAAGUGCUUGGGAAGGACGUGCUAUCAACAUCAGCGAUUGUGGCGACCUGUCCUGUGUGUCACAAGUACUUUUUCUACUCCUCCUUGGACCACAAUUCCAAGAAUAUUUCCUUACACCGUACUUCUUCUUCAAGUACGCAGAGAAAGCUAUUGCAGCUGCGAA